AUGAACGCUGGCGGCGUGCCUAAUACAUGCAAGUCGAACGAGUUCUCCCUAAAUCUUUUGAUGCUUGCAUUAAAAGAUUUAGGAUUCGGAACGAGUGGCGAACUGGUGAGUAACACGUGGGUAACCUGCCCUGAAGUGGGGGAUAACAUUUGGAAACAAAUGCUAAUACCGCAUAAUUAGUUGAAACCACAUGGUUUCAACUUGAAAGAUGGCUCUGCUAUCACUUUAGGAUGGACCCGCGGCGUAUUAGCUAGUUGGUGAGGUAAUGGCUCACCAAGGCGAUGAUACGUAGCCGAACUGAGAGGUUGAUCGGCCACAUUGGGACUGAGACACGGCCCAAACUCCUACGGAGCAGCAGUAGGAAUCUU
RNAcentral lists this ribosomal RNA (368 nucleotides) under uncultured Lactobacillus sp. RNAcentral describes it as "bacterial SSU rRNA". It matches the Rfam family "Bacterial small subunit ribosomal RNA", at positions 29 to 365 of the family's 1533-position model. Lineage: Bacteria; Bacillati; Bacillota; Bacilli; Lactobacillales; Lactobacillaceae. The record is from RNAcentral.